UUCAUUUCUAUAUGUCUACCUCCUCCAUCUUGCAGGGAUGGUUCAGCUGCUCCAGUAGCAACAACAGAACUGCUGUGCAUUACAAUGGAGUGUUUAGUGAAAAGACAAACCUGCUGCCAGCUGAGCCGCUCUACCUGAGCUCUACCUGUCCUUCUCAUGUCCCUUCUGCUGCCGUUGCUGCAAACAGUGCUUUGGGCCCUCACUGCAUCUCCACUGACUGGACUGCAGCAGGGUGUGUGGGGAUGGAUCUGUGCUGGAAGGUCAUGCUGGACAAACUUAUUGCCAUAGAAGACACAUAAUGGACAAGCUCUGUCUGUUUCUCCACCAGCAAGAAUGCUUGAGAAUGAAAUGCCAUGGGAUGAACUGUAGCUGGUGUGGCAUGUGUAUGCAAGCAAGAUGGGGGGAAGGAAGAAAGCAUCUCUGGCCAGAAGAAGGAUACUAUCACUUUGCAUGGGUAAAUUUGUCUUCAGGAAGAGUAAAAGCAGGGAUACUUGGACUUUAGCUUUACCUUGAAGAAGCAGGGAUGAAUGUAUGCUGUUAACAGAGUUACAGUCCAAGUUUCAAAAUCUUGAUUCUUUUCUCUGCAUUAAGUAUAAGUGUUUAGCUGACUUGAACAAACUGAGGCAUUCAGCAGGCCUUCCGUAGUCCCACAGAGCCAGCAGAACUGCCUGGAGAACUGGCCUGGGUGCCAGUGAGCACCUGUAGCAGCUCUGAGCCAUGAGCAUGGCUUACAGCUAUACUGCUGAUAGAGGGUUUUUGUCUAUUUGAGGAUUACUGUUUGCCUCCUUCUAACAGCCAGUGCCUUCUCCAGGGCAUGCAGCACCCAUCUAUCCUACCUCAUGGAUUCUAGAUUAAAACCACCACUCAGUGAGAGUAGAGUCUGAGUGGAGCUAAACACUGCCACUGCACUCCUCACUAAACAUUUUGCUAUUUAGAUACAGAUGGUUUAAAUAUGUUAUCAGAUUUUUUUCAUGACCUUUUUAAAGUAAACAAACGUGGUCCAAAUUUCAAGCUGAAGCAAAACAAGAAAAGUUGAUUGAAACUUACUUUCCUCUCAGAUUUUGCCACUGAAAAAUGAAAAGUAAUUGUUAUGUUUGACCAUGAAAAAACAUUUUCUGACAAAGCGUCAUUCUAUACAGGAAAUGAUUUUUGUCCCAAAAUUCUUG
Molecule: non-coding RNA, 1166 nt
Organism: Meleagris gallopavo (turkey)
Lineage: Eukaryota; Metazoa; Chordata; Aves; Galliformes; Phasianidae
Source: RefSeq, a predicted model, not a curated record